This 251-nucleotide ribosomal RNA is filed under the name uncultured prokaryote. RNAcentral's name for it is "partial 16S ribosomal RNA". It matches the Rfam family "Bacterial small subunit ribosomal RNA", at positions 525 to 775 of the family's 1533-position model. The record is from RNAcentral.
ACGUAGGGUGCGAGCGUUAAUCGGAAUUACUGGGCGUAAAGCGUGCGCAGGCGGUUUUGUAAGGCAGAUGUGAAAUCCCCGGGCUCAACCUGGGAACUGCAUUUGAGACUGCAAGGCUAGAGUGUAGCAGAGGGGGGUAGAAUUCCACGUGUAGCAGUGAAAUGCGUAGAGAUGUGGAGGAAUACCGAUGGCGAAGGCAGCCCCCUGGGUUACUACUGACGCUCAUGCACGAAAGCGUGGGGAGCAAACAG